UGGGUGGUGGUGCAUGGC
Molecule: non-coding RNA, 18 nt
Filed under: Arabidopsis thaliana (thale cress)
Lineage: Eukaryota; Viridiplantae; Streptophyta; Magnoliopsida; Brassicales; Brassicaceae
Also listed under: 1 other name
Source: RNAcentral